RNAcentral lists this ribosomal RNA (301 nucleotides) under uncultured bacterium. RNAcentral describes it as "partial 16S ribosomal RNA". It matches the Rfam family "Bacterial small subunit ribosomal RNA", at positions 509 to 807 of the family's 1533-position model. The record is from RNAcentral.
CAGUAGCCACGGGAAUACGGAGGGCGCGAGCGUUACCCGGAUUUACUGGGCGUAAAGGGCGUGUAGGCGGCCUGGGGCGUCCCAUGUGAAAGGCCACGGCUCGACCGUGGAGGAGCGUGGGAUACGCUCAGGCUAGAGGGUGGGAGAGGGUGGUGGAAUUCCCGGAGUAGCGGUGAAAUGCGCAGAUACCGGGAGGAACGCCGAUGGCGAAGGCAGCCACCUGGUCCACUUCUGACGCUGAGGCGCGAAAGCGUGGGGAGCAAACCGGAUUAGAUACCCGUGUAGUCCCUGUCUCUUAUAC